CUAAGUUUGAUGGCGACCGGCGCACGGGUGAGUAACACGUAUCCAACCUGCCGAUGACUCGGGGAUAGCCUUUCGAAAGAAAGAUUAAUACCCGAUGGCAUAGUUCUUCCGCAUGGUGGAACUAUUAAAGAAUUUCGGUCAUCGAUGGGGAUGCGUUCCAUUAGGUUGUUGGCGGGGUAACGGCCCACCAAGCCUUCGAUGGAUAGGGGUUCUGAGAGAAGGUCCCCCACAUUGGAACUGAGACACGGUCCAAACUCCUACGGGAGGCAGCAUG
This 274-nucleotide ribosomal RNA is filed under the name uncultured bacterium. RNAcentral describes it as "partial 16S ribosomal RNA". It matches the Rfam family "Bacterial small subunit ribosomal RNA", at positions 79 to 353 of the family's 1533-position model. The record is from RNAcentral.